Molecule: ribosomal RNA, 442 nt
Filed under: uncultured bacterium
Lineage: Bacteria
Description: partial 16S ribosomal RNA
Rfam family: Bacterial small subunit ribosomal RNA
Source: RNAcentral
CCUACGGGAGGCAGCAGUGGGGAAUAUUGGGCAAUGGGCGCAAGCCUGACCCAGCAACGCCGCGUGAAGGAAGAAGGCUUUCGGGUUGUAAACUUCUUUUGUCAGGGAAGAGUAGAAGACGGUACCUGACGUAUCAGCCCCGGCUAACUACGUGCCAGCAGCCGCGGUAAUACGUAGGUGGCAAGCGUUGUCCGGAUUUACUGGGUGUAAAGGGCGUGUAGCCGGGUUGACAAGUCAGAUGUGAAAUCCUGCGGCUUAACCGCAGAACUGCAUUUGAAACUGUUGAUCUUGAGUACUGGAGAGGCAGAUGGAAGUCCUAGUGUAGCGGUGAAAUGCGUAGAUAUUAGGAGGAACACCAGUGGCGAAGGCGGUCUGCUGGACAGCAACUGACGGUGAGGCGCGAAAGCGUGGGGAGCAAACAGGAUUAGAUACCCUUGUAGUC